RNAcentral lists this ribosomal RNA (404 nucleotides) under uncultured prokaryote. RNAcentral's name for it is "bacterial SSU rRNA". It matches the Rfam family "Bacterial small subunit ribosomal RNA", at positions 355 to 776 of the family's 1533-position model. The record is from RNAcentral. RNAcentral also lists the same sequence under 1 other name.
UGGGGAAUAUUGCGCAAUGGGGGAAACCCUGACGCAGCAACGCCGCGUGAGUGAUGAAGGUUUUCGGAUCGUAAAACUCUGUCUUUGGGGAAGAUAAUGACGGUACCCAAGGAGGAAGCCCCGGCUAACUACGUGCCAGCAGCCGCGGUAAUACGUAGGGGGCAAGCGUUGUCCGGAUUUACUGGGCGUACAGAGCAUGUAGGCUGUUGUUUUAGUCAGAUGUGAAAGUUUUCGGCUCAACCGGAAAAGUGCAUUUGAAACUGGACAACUUGAGAAUCGGAGAGGUAAGCGGAAUUCCUAGUGUAGCGGUGAAAUGCGUAGAUAUUAGGAAGAACACCGGUGGCGAAGGCGGCUUACUGGACGAUUUCUGACGCUGAGAUGCGAAAGCGUGGGGAGCGAACAGG